Molecule: unclassified non-coding RNA, 294 nt
Filed under: uncultured fungus
Lineage: Eukaryota; Fungi
Description: partial contains 5.8S ribosomal RNA, internal transcribed spacer 2, and large subunit ribosomal RNA
Source: RNAcentral
AACGCACCUUGCACCCUUUGGCAUUCCGAAGGGUAUGCUCGUUUGAGUGUCAUUGUACUCUCACACUUCUCAUCCUUUGGAUUUGGAGCGGUGGACUUGGGUGUUGCUGCUUUACGGUGGCUCACCUCUAAUGCAUUCGUGCAACUCUUGGUUGGACAUAGUACGGCGUGAUAAGUGUCUUCGCCGGCACCUCGCAAGAGGGUGGCUGAUUGAGAGCUCUGUGCUUUCAAACUGUCCUUGGACAAUGACUGACAACUUGACCUCAAAUCGAGUAGGACUACCCGCUGAACUUAA